Molecule: ribosomal RNA, 254 nt
Filed under: uncultured bacterium
Lineage: Bacteria
Description: partial 16S ribosomal RNA
Rfam family: Bacterial small subunit ribosomal RNA
Source: RNAcentral
UACGAGGGGUGCAAGCGUUGCUCGGAAUUAUUGGGCGUAAAGGGUUGGUAGGUGGUCUCAUUUGUCUGGGGUGAAAUCCUUGAGCUUAACUCAAGAACUGCCCCAGAAACGGUGAGACUGGAGUACUGGAGAGGGUCGUGGAAUUCCCGGUGUAGCGGUGAAAUGCGUAGAUAUCUGGAGGAACACCGGUGGCGAAGGCGGCAUCCUGGACCAUUACUGACGCUGAGUGAGCGAAAGCCAGGGGAGCAAACGGG